CAGUGAGAGUGAGGUUUGGUAUUUGCAGUCUGUACAGUGAGAGUGAGGUUUGGUAUUUACAGUCUGUACAGUGAGAGUGAGGUUUGGUAUUUGCAGUCUGUACAGUGAGAGUAAGGUUUGGUAUUUGCAGUCUGUACAGUGAGAGUGAGG
Molecule: long non-coding RNA, 150 nt
Organism: Bombina bombina (fire-bellied toad)
Lineage: Eukaryota; Metazoa; Chordata; Amphibia; Anura; Bombinatoridae
Exons: 3
Source: RefSeq, a predicted model, not a curated record